Molecule: transfer RNA, 69 nt
Filed under: Rattus norvegicus (Norway rat)
Lineage: Eukaryota; Metazoa; Chordata; Mammalia; Rodentia; Muridae
Rfam family: tRNA
About the family: Transfer RNA (tRNA) molecules are approximately 80 nucleotides in length. Their secondary structure includes four short double-helical elements and three loops (D, anti-codon, and T loops).
Source: Rfam by way of RNAcentral
GGGGAUUUAGCUCAGUGGUAGAGCCCUUGCCUAGCAAGCACAAGGCCCUGGGUUCGGUUCCCAGCUCCG